UACAGAGGCCUCGAGCGUUAGGCGGAAUCACUGGGCUUAAAGCGUGUGUAGGUGGAUGCCUAAGUACCUUGUGAAAUCCCACGGCUUAACCGUGGAACUGCUGGGUAUACUGGGUGGCUUGAGCCACUCAGGGGCUACCGGAACAAACGGUGGAGCGGUGAAAUGCGUAGAUAUCGUUUGGAACGCCAAUGGUGAAAACAGGUAGCUGGGGGUGUGCUGACACUGAGACACGAAAGCCAGGGGAGCAAACGGG
This 253-nucleotide ribosomal RNA is filed under the name uncultured bacterium. Its description in RNAcentral is "partial 16S ribosomal RNA". It matches the Rfam family "Bacterial small subunit ribosomal RNA", at positions 524 to 776 of the family's 1533-position model. The record is from RNAcentral.